AUCGCCUGUUUAUCAAAAACAUAACUGUAAGAGCAUAUAUUUACAGCAAUUUCUGCUCAAUGAUUUAUUUUAAUAGCCGCAGUACCCUGACUGUGCUAAGGUAGCAUAAUCAAUUGGCUCAUAAUUGGAGUCUCGUAUGAAUGAAUUCAUGGGGGUUAGCUGUUUCAUAUUAAUAUUGUUAAAUUAUUUAUUAAGUGAAAAUACUUAAAAAUAAAAAAUAGACGAGAAGACCCUAGAAAUUUUUAAUUUAAUAAAUACCUUUUUGUUGGGGCGACAAAGUAGCAAAUAACAACCUACUUAAGUUUUACUGGAAUAUUAUAUUAUGAGUGAAUAAAUUACUCUAGGGAUAACAGCAUAAUAUUUAAAAGUUUGUGACCUCGAUGUUGGAUUAGGAAAACUAUACUUAGAAGGUUAAUAUUUUUGCUCUGUUCGAGCAACCCUCUCCUACGUGAUCUGAGUUCAGACCGG
This 468-nucleotide ribosomal RNA is filed under the name Cathaica fasciola pyrrhozona. RNAcentral's name for it is "partial large subunit ribosomal RNA". It matches the Rfam family "Bacterial large subunit ribosomal RNA", at positions 1795 to 2619 of the family's 2925-position model. Lineage: Eukaryota; Metazoa; Mollusca; Gastropoda; Stylommatophora; Camaenidae. The record is from RNAcentral.